GACGAACGCUGGCGGCGUGCCUAAUACAUGCAAGUCGAACGACACUCUCGUUUAGAUUGAAGGAGCUUGCUCCUGAUUGAUAAACAUUUGAGUGAGUGGCGGACGGGUGAGUAACACGUGGGUAACCUGCCCUAAAGUGGGGGAUAACAUUUGGAAACAGAUGCUAAUACCGCAUAAAACCUAACACCGCAUGGUGUAGGGUUGAAAGAUGGGUUUCGGCUAUCACUUUAGGAUGGACCCGCGGUGCAUUAGUUAGUUGGUGAGGUAAAGGCUCACCAAGACCGUGAUGCAUAGCCGACCUGAGAGGGUAAUCGGCCACACUGGGACUGAGACACGGCCCAGACUCCUACGGGAGGCAGCAGUAGGGAAUCUUCCACAAUGGACGAAAGUCUGAUGGAGCAACGCCGCGUGAGUGAAGAAGGUUUUCGGAUCGUAAAACUCUGUUGUUGGAGAAGAUGUAUCUGAUAGUAACUGAUCAGGUAAUGACGGUAUCCAA
This 496-nucleotide ribosomal RNA is filed under the name uncultured bacterium. RNAcentral describes it as "bacterial SSU rRNA". It matches the Rfam family "Bacterial small subunit ribosomal RNA", at positions 28 to 482 of the family's 1533-position model. The record is from RNAcentral.